This 71-nucleotide transfer RNA is filed under the name Camelus bactrianus (Bactrian camel). It matches the Rfam family "tRNA". From Rfam's summary of the family: Transfer RNA (tRNA) molecules are approximately 80 nucleotides in length. Their secondary structure includes four short double-helical elements and three loops (D, anti-codon, and T loops). Further hydrogen bonds mediate the characteristic L-shaped molecular structure. tRNAs have two regions of fundamental functional importance: the anti-codon, which is responsible for specific mRNA codon recognition, and the 3' end, to which the tRNAs corresponding amino acid is attached (by aminoacyl-tRNA synthetases). tRNAs cope with the degeneracy of the genetic code in two manners: having more than one tRNA (with a specific anti-codon) for a particular amino acid; and 'wobble' base-pairing, i.e. permitting non-standard base-pairing at the 3rd anti-codon position. RNAcentral also lists the same sequence under 2 other names. The record is from Rfam by way of RNAcentral. Lineage: Eukaryota; Metazoa; Chordata; Mammalia; Artiodactyla; Camelidae.
GGAGGUAUUGCUCAGUGGUAGAGUGCCUACUUAGCAUGCACAGGGUCCUGGGUUCAAUCCUAGCACCUCCA